RNAcentral lists this ribosomal RNA (484 nucleotides) under uncultured bacterium. Its description in RNAcentral is "partial 16S ribosomal RNA". It matches the Rfam family "Bacterial small subunit ribosomal RNA", at positions 30 to 507 of the family's 1533-position model. The record is from RNAcentral.
AUUGAACGCUGGCGGCAGGCCUAACACAUGCAAGUCGAGCGGAUGAAGGGAGCUUGCUCCUGGAUUCAGCGGCGGACGGGUGAGUAAUGCCUAGGAAUCUGCCUGGUAGUGGGGGAUAACGUCCGGAAACGGGCGCUAAUACCGCAUACGUCCUGAGGGAGAAAGUGGGGGAUCUUCGGACCUCACGCUAUCAGAUGAGCCUAGGUCGGAUUAGCUAGUUGGUGGGGUAAAGGCCUACCAAGGCGACGAUCCGUAACUGGUCUGAGGGGAUGAUCAGUCACACUGGAACUGAGACACGGUCCAGACUCCUACGGGAGGCAGCAGUGGGGAAUAUUGGACAAUGGGCGAAAGCCUGAUCCAGCCAUGCCGCGUGUGUGAAGAAGGUCUUCGGAUUGUAAAGCACUUUAAGUUGGGAGGAAGGGCAGUAAGUUAAUACCUUGCUGUUUUGACGUUACCAACAGGAUAAGCACCGGCUAACUUCGUG